UUGAAAUAUGUCAGUGCUGUGAACUCGAAAGAAAAAGAAAGUUCUAAAUACUCAUAACAGUUAAUUUAACUGAACUAAUUUGUUCAAUUUAAGUUUGUCCUACUCAAACCAAUUAAGUAUUUUGAGCAUUAGGGUUUGCAGUGGUGAAGUACAUUACUACACAAAUAAUAUAGUUUACUAAGUUGUAAAUAAUGGCUAAAAGGCGUUUACUGUACAUUCUGUUAAUUAUUAAUUACUAGCUUAUUUUUGCUUAUUUAUCGCAUGAAUGUGGAUCUUUCAAAUGUUUAAUAAAUUUUAAAUAAUGGCUAAUAUGCCCUUACUAGCCUAUAUGUUAAGUUAAUCAUUAGUUAAUCAUUAAUUACUAGUGUGUUUGUGCAUAACACAUACAUAUUUGUGGACCCUUAAAAUAAAGUAUUACCAGAUCUCCUUUGAGAUCUACCUCCCUCCCCUUCAGGUACAGUCAUAAUAUGUUAAUCUGUUUACAUUUUUUAGAGGUAAGAAGACAGAUAUCUAAGAAGAUGAAUAUGUAUCAUUUCCAUCUUAUGUUUCUUGUCCCUUGACAGACCCAAAGGAAAAGGACAGUGAUUCCCAAACCACAGAGAAAUGUUCCCGAAUGACUGUUGAUGAAUAUCAAGCCACAACCUUGACAGAGACUCAGAAGAAGCUGAAAUAAAUGGAGGAAAAUGAAAAAUUGAGAAAUGACAACAAAAAAAGCUACCAAAUCUGUUAAAUGAAGUGAAGAUGGCCCUUGAAGUCUCAGUGUUUGUCAACGUCGCCAGUCAGCUCUGACUUGGAAGGCGGACUGGGUUUGACACAAAGUAAUUACAGAGCCCUCCCUGCCGAUGUUUUGCCUUUUAUUUAUUUGUCUCACAGGAGCAACGUUGCAAAAAGUGUCCUCAUGUGGUGCCCUCCAGCAUUGGUGCAGCCAUCAAUGCCAAACUUACUGAAAUUACAGGGAAGAAGAAAACAAAAACAUCCGAAAACCUUAAUGCUCUUUGAUGAUUGAUAGCCAUGACAGUGUGUUCAAGUCAUUGACCGCGGCUCCAGCCCUUGAACCCGUCCCCCAUCCGAGAUGGCUGCCAUUCCAGUGUCUCGUCCUGAGAUGGCCGUCGUUCCAGAAUCUCUUACCGUCAUGGCCGCCGUUCCAGAAUCUCUUACCGUCACGGCCGCCAUUCCCAUGUCUCUUUCCGUCAUGGUCACUGGUCCAGAGUCUCGUCCUGUCAUGGCCGCCAUCCCCGAGUCUCAUCCCGUCAUGGCCGCCGUUCCAGAGUCUUGUCCCGUCAUGGCUGCCGAAUCUGAGCCCUCAGCCAAAAUGCCCACCACAUCUGGGCCCUCAGCCAAAACGGCCGCCACCACGCCUAUAACUCUAACUUCCUUCCUCGUCCGGGAUCCAGAAAUGACCUCCUUCCUCGUCCAGAGAUGACUCCCUUCCUCAUCGAGAGCCCAGAGAUGGCUCCAGCCCGAGUCUGCUCCAGUGUCAGCUCCAGCCCCUGAGCCUGCUCCAGUGUUGGCUCCAGCCCCUGAGCCCACUCCAGUGUCACUCCAGCCCCUGAGCCCGCUCCGGUGUCGGCUCCAGCCCCUAAUAGGCCUAUAAACUCUAAAAAUGUUGGGUUAAAAACAACCCAAGUUAGGUUAAAUACAUUAAAGGUCUGUGUAGCAUGACUCAAAUGAGAAGUGCUCUUUCUUUCCGCAUCUGGCGCGCUCUGUAGUACGACGUAUAACAAGUUAUAAUCGCACUUGUAUGAAAAAAGUACAAAUAUAAAGUUCAAAUUUAGCUGUGAUUAUGAAAGAUUAUCACGAAGACCAUAAAACAUCUGAAUGUCAUUUGCUGACACCUAGGCUUAGGCUACCUAGUUUAUUGGAAUACAUUUCACAAGACAAUAUUAUUACCAGAAUAAGGUACAUCUCUAAACAGUUUCGCUAGUAUAAUGUUAUAAUUAUUUUAUUGCUAGCGCGCUAACUGGGAUAGCUAGGAUUCAUUUCCAAUUGAUUUCACUUUCCGGAGAAUGUUAAAACUGACUAAAGAGAAUUUCUUACUCGAAACUUCAUUUUGAAAAUAUAAAAUUCAGUUUUAGAAUAUAUGUAAUGUUUCAGUAUACAUUAUCUAAUGUUAUAAAAGUUAUAUACAUGAAAAACGAUAGGACUUACCUUUUAUAAUAAGACUGCAGCAGCUUCUUUCUGUUGACAGUCACUGGACUAUUAAAAUUUGAACCGUCGUUGCGGGAACUGUAUUUAAAGGGUUAGUUCACCCAAAAAUGAAAAUUCUGUCAUUAAUUACUCACCCUCAUGUUGUUCCACACCCGUAAGACCUUCGUUCAUCUUCAGAACGCAAAUUACAAUAUU
Molecule: long non-coding RNA, 2343 nt
Organism: Ctenopharyngodon idella (grass carp)
Lineage: Eukaryota; Metazoa; Chordata; Actinopteri; Cypriniformes; Xenocyprididae
Exons: 3
Source: RefSeq, a predicted model, not a curated record